RNAcentral lists this ribosomal RNA (495 nucleotides) under uncultured bacterium. Its description in RNAcentral is "partial 16S ribosomal RNA". It matches the Rfam family "Bacterial small subunit ribosomal RNA", at positions 28 to 505 of the family's 1533-position model. The record is from RNAcentral.
GAUGAACGCUGGCGGCGUGCCUAAUACAUGCAAGUCGAGCGAACAGACGAGGAGCUUGCUCCUCUGACGUUAGCGGCGGACGGGUGAGUAACACGUGGAUAACCUACCUAUAAGACUGGGAUAACUUCGGGAAACCGGAGCUAAUACCGGAUAAUAUAUUGAACCGCAUGGUUCAAUAGUGAAAGACGGUUUUGCUGUCACUUAUAGAUGGAUCCGCGCCGCAUUAGCUAGUUGGUAAGGUAACGGCUUACCAAGGCGACGAUGCGUAGCCGACCUGAGAGGGUGAUCGGCCACACUGGAACUGAGACACGGUCCAGACUCCUACGGGAGGCAGCAGUAGGGAAUCUUCCGCAAUGGGCGAAAGCCUGACGGAGCAACGCCGCGUGAGUGAUGAAGGUCUUCGGAUCGUAAAACUCUGUUAUUAGGGAAGAACAAAUGUGUAAGUAACUAUGCACGUCUUGACGGUACCUAAUCAGAAAGCCACGGCGAACUACG